Molecule: non-coding RNA, 1265 nt
Organism: Vigna umbellata (rice bean)
Lineage: Eukaryota; Viridiplantae; Streptophyta; Magnoliopsida; Fabales; Fabaceae
Source: RefSeq, a predicted model, not a curated record
CUCUCGCUAUCUCUGAUUUCACGUUCCCUCCUCUCUUCUUCUCUAAAUCGCGCUCUUCCAACAACACUCCUCUCUCACCAUCACUGAACCACAUCUCGCGUUCACUCCUCACCGAACUACAUCUUCUUCAUUGCCUUUGAGCGUCGCCUCAAACACCAAACCUCAUCUUGCUCUAGGUUUUCCUUAUCUCUUAUCUUUUUACCGAUUGUUUUGCUUUUUUUCUUCAUUUUUCACUGAUUGAGAUUGGUUUCUAUCUAUUUACACCGAUUAAAUCUUCGUUCCAACCUUUUCCACCGAUUAAAUCCCUUCCUACCUCGAACCCUAGAAUCUCCUCCGAACAAACCUUCGAAUCUAGGGUUUGCUUUUGAUUUCACCGUCUUCCGCUGUGUCCUUGUUCGCCGAAUCGAUUUUACACCAGAAUCAUGGAUUCACGACGAUCCGCCUCGACUAGGAGUCAUCACUCGUUUAUCAUUCUUUGGUGUAGUAUUCUGUGUAGUCUUAUUCAUCAUUCUCUGGAGUGGUGUGGUGAGAGAGAGUCUAUGUGUUGGUGUGCUGGUAAUAAUGGCUGAAGAGGAGCUUGUAAUGGAAAGCAUGAGGUCGUGAUUUCUUUUGUUCACUACCUCGUGGUUCUAGAAGGUGCUGAUGGGGACAAAAUGCCAGGCUAAGUUGUUUGCUGGUGGGGAUGAUGCUUGGAAAGAACGGGAAGAUGUUGUCCUGGCCCUUGGUGCCAUAGGUGAAGGUUGCAUCAAUGGUCUUUAUCCUCAUUUGUUGGAGGUAAUUUUUAAUUUUCUGGUUCUAAUUACUCAAUCCAGAAGCAACUGGUUUGAUUGGAGGAAAAAAUGUUGAGCUUGUUUUAAAAAUUUGAUUAAUGUAUGCUUGAAUGAUUAUAUAACUUAAUGUAUGCAUGCUUGUGUCUUUGAAUAUGUCAUUAAUUGCAUUUUAGAGUUAAUAAUGGCUACUUCCUCGAAAUUUUGAUUUGUUUUAGAACUUAGAGAGAUAUUUGUGAGGUGUGUAGCAGUGCUGUUAUAAUCUCAUUAUUAUCAUGUUCCAGUUCAGUAAUGUCAUACCCCUGCUCUGUUGUAUUUCAUGGUGUUAGGAUAUAUUGCUUCUAUGUGAUAUUGUGGACUCUAACUUUUGGAAAGAAUAGAAAGUUCUUCAUUUUAGGUUCUUGAAGGUCUUAUAGUCCAAAUAUGCUCUAUGGUCCAGAAUCAAGGUUUAAUCCCCCUAAUCUGGUCACAGGAAACUUCACGUCUAAAUCUUAAGCA